AUAUAUACCUACACAAAUUAUAAAGGGAGAUUGGGUGGUGUGAGAUAAUGA
This 51-nucleotide non-coding RNA is filed under the name Trypanosoma lewisi. The record is from RNAcentral. Lineage: Eukaryota; Euglenozoa; Kinetoplastea; Trypanosomatida; Trypanosomatidae.